GAUGAAGAACGUAGCGAAAUGCGAUAAGUAAUGUGAAUUGCAGAAUUCCGUGAAUCAUCGAAUCUUUGAACGCACAUUGCGCCCCUUGGUAUCCCGAGGGGCAUGCCUGUUCGAGCGUCAUUUCACCACUCAAGCCUGGCUUGGUGUUGGGCGACGUCCUCUUUGGGGACGCGCCUCGAAACGCUCGGCGGCGUGGCACCGGCUUUAAGCGUAGCAGAAUCUUUCGCUUUGGAAGUCGGGGCCCCGUCUGCCGGAAGACCUGCUCGCAAGGUUGACCUCGGAUCAGGCAGGGAUACCCGCUGAACUUAAGCAUAUCAAUAAGCGGAGGA
Molecule: unclassified non-coding RNA, 329 nt
Filed under: soil metagenome
Description: partial contains 5.8S ribosomal RNA, internal transcribed spacer 2, and large subunit ribosomal RNA
Rfam family: 5.8S ribosomal RNA (bases 1-120)
Source: RNAcentral